CAGUAUUCUUUUUGCCAGCGCUUAAUUGCGCGGCGAAAAAACCUUACACACAGUGUUUUUUGUUAUUACAAGAACUUUUGCUUUGGUCUGGACUAGAAAUAGUUUGGGCCAGAGGUUUACUGAACUAAACUUCAAUAUUUAUAUUGAAUUGUUACUUAUUUAAUUGUCAAUUUGUUGAUUAAAUUCAAAAAAUCUUCA
This 198-nucleotide unclassified non-coding RNA is filed under the name uncultured Debaryomyces. RNAcentral's name for it is "sequence contains ITS1". Lineage: Eukaryota; Fungi; Ascomycota; Saccharomycetes; Saccharomycetales; Saccharomycetaceae. The record is from RNAcentral.